GUGCUCACUUCAGCAGCACAUACUAAAACUGGAAUGAUUAGCCUCUGCUCAAGAAUGACAUGCAAAUUUGUGAAGUGUUCCAUAUUCUC
Molecule: small nuclear RNA, 89 nt
Organism: Marmota marmota marmota (Alpine marmot)
Lineage: Eukaryota; Metazoa; Chordata; Mammalia; Rodentia; Sciuridae
Source: Ensembl